This 253-nucleotide ribosomal RNA is filed under the name uncultured bacterium. RNAcentral describes it as "partial 16S ribosomal RNA". It matches the Rfam family "Bacterial small subunit ribosomal RNA", at positions 524 to 776 of the family's 1533-position model. The record is from RNAcentral.
UACGUGGGGUGCAGGCGUUAUUCGGAAUUACUGGGCGUAAAGCGUGCGCAGGCGGUUUCUUAAGUCAGAUGUGAAAGCCCCGGGCUUAACCUGGGAACUGCGUUUGAAACUGGGAGACUUGAGUGUGGCAGAGGGGGGUGGAAUUCCACGUGUAGCAGUGAAAUGCGUAGAUAUGUGGAGGAACACCGAUGGCGAAGGCAGCUUACUAGGCUGUAACUGACGCUGAGGCACGAAAGUGUGGGGAUCAAACAGG